GAUGAACGCUGGCGGCGUGCCUAAUACAUGCAAGUCGAGCGAACGGACGAGAAGCUUGCUUCUCUGAUGUUAGCGGCGGACGGGUGAGUAACACGUGGAUAACCUACCUAUAAGACUGGGAUAACUUCGGGAAACCGGAGCUAAUACCGGAUAAUAUUUUGAACCGCAUGGUUCAAAAGUGAAAGACGGUCUUGCUGUCACUUAUAGAUGGAUCCGCGCUGCAUUAGCUAGUUGGUAAGGUAACGGCUUACCAAGGCAACGAUGCAUAGCCGACCUGAGAGGGUGAUCGGCCACACGGGAAGUGAGACACGGUCCAGACUCCUACGGGAGGCAGCAGUAGGGAAUCUUCCGCAAUGGGCGAAAGCCUGACGGAGCAACGCCGCGUGAGUGAUGAAGGUCUUCGGAUCGGAAAACUCUGUUAGUAGGGAAGAACAUAUGUGUAAGUAACUGUGCACAUCUUGACGGUACCUAAUCAGAAAGCCACGGCUAACUACGUG
Molecule: ribosomal RNA, 497 nt
Filed under: uncultured bacterium
Lineage: Bacteria
Description: partial 16S ribosomal RNA
Rfam family: Bacterial small subunit ribosomal RNA
Source: RNAcentral